GAAGCGGCAACAGCUCAAAUUUGAAAUCUGGCGCAAGCCCGAGUUGUAAUUUGUAGAGGAUGCUUCAGGGCAGCGGCCGGUCUAAGUUCCUUGGAACAGGACGUCAUAGAGGGUGAGAAUCCCGUAUGCGACCGGUUGGCACCCGUCACGUAGCUCCUUCGACGAGUCGAGUUGUUUGGGAAUGCAGCUCUAAAUGGGAGGUAAAUUUCUUCUAAAGCUAAAUACCGGCCAGAGACCGAUAGCGCACAAGUAGAGUGAUCGAAAGAUGAAAAGCACUUUGGAAAGAGAGUUAAAAAGCACGUGAAAUUGUUGAAAGGGAAGCGCAUGCAACCAGACUUGUCGGCGGUGUUCCGCCGGUCUUCUGACCGGUCUACUCGCCGCCGGCAGGCCAGCAUCAUCUGGGCGCGCCGGACAAAGGCGCGGGGAAUGUGGCUCCUCGGAGUGUUAUAGCCCCGCGCACAAUACGGCGCCGCUCGGGUGAGGUCCGCGCUUCGGCUAGGAUGCUGGCGUAAUGGUUGUCUGCGGCCCGUCUUGAAACACGGACCAAGGAGUCUAACAUCUAUGCGAGUGUUCGGGUGUCAAACCCCUACGCGGAAUGAAAGUGAACGGAGGUGGGAAGCGCAAGCUGCACCAUCGACCGAUCCUGAUGUCUUCGGAUGGAUUUGAGUAAGAGCAUAGCUGUUGGGACCCGAAAGAUGGUGAACUAUGCCUGAAUAGGGUGAAGCCAGAGGAAACUCUGGUGGA
This 744-nucleotide ribosomal RNA is filed under the name Teratosphaeria stellenboschiana. RNAcentral's name for it is "eukaryotic LSU rRNA". It matches the Rfam family "Eukaryotic large subunit ribosomal RNA", at positions 95 to 871 of the family's 3401-position model. The record is from RNAcentral. Lineage: Eukaryota; Fungi; Ascomycota; Dothideomycetes; Mycosphaerellales; Teratosphaeriaceae.